RNAcentral lists this ribosomal RNA (391 nucleotides) under uncultured bacterium. RNAcentral's name for it is "bacterial SSU rRNA". It matches the Rfam family "Bacterial small subunit ribosomal RNA", at positions 72 to 507 of the family's 1533-position model. The record is from RNAcentral.
GACCUUCGGGUCUAGUGGCGCACGGGUGCGUAACACGUGGGAAUUUGCCUCGGGGUAUGGAAUAACUCAGGGAAACUUGAGCUAAUACCAUAUAAUGUCUUCGGACCAAAGAUUUAUCGCCCUGAGAUAAGCCCGCGUAGGAUUAGCUAGUUGGUGGGGUAAAGGCUCACCAAGGCGACGAUCCUUAGCUGGUCUGAGAGGAUGAUCAGCCACACUGGGACUGAGACACGGCCCAGACUCCUACGGGAGGCAGCAGUGGGGAAUAUUGGACAAUGGGCGAAAGCCUGAUCCAGCAAUGCCGCGUGAGUGAUGAAGGCCUUCGGGUUGUAAAGCUCUUUUACUCGGGACGAUAAUGACGGUACCGAGAGAAUAAGCCCCGGCUAACUCCGUG